Molecule: ribosomal RNA, 468 nt
Filed under: uncultured bacterium
Lineage: Bacteria
Description: partial 16S ribosomal RNA
Rfam family: Bacterial small subunit ribosomal RNA
Source: RNAcentral
GACGAACGCUGGCGGCGUGCUUAACACAUGCAAGUCGAACGGAAAGGCCCUGCUUUUGUAGGGUGCUCGAGUGCCGAACAGGUGAGUAACACGUGAGUAACCUCCCCUUGACUUUGGGAUAACUUCAUGGAACUGGGGCUAAUACCGCAUAUGAGCUCCUGCUGCAUGGUGUGGGUUUGAAAAUUUCGGCGGUUGGGGAUGGACUCGCGGCUUAUCAGCUUGUUGGUGGGGUAGUGGCUUACCAAGGCGUUGACGGGUAGCCGGCCUGAGAGGGUGACCGGCCACAUUGGGACUGAGAUACGGCCAAGACUCCAACGGGAGGCAGCGGUGGAGGAUAUUGCACAAUGGGCGGAAGCCGGAUGCAGCAACGCCGCGUGCGGGAUGACGGCCUUCGGGUUGUAAACCGCUUUCGCCUGUGACGAAGCGUGAGUGACGGUAAUGGGUAAAGAAGCACCGGCUAACUACGUG